CAGUCGCCACGGUAAUACGAAGGGUGCAAGCGUUACUCGGAAUUACUGGGCGUAAAGCGUGCGUAGGUGGUUGUUUAAGUCUGCUGUGAAAGCCCUGGGCUCAACCUGGGAAUUGCAGUGGAUACUGGGCAACUAGAGUAAGGUAGAGGAUAGUGGAAUUUCCGGUGUAGCAGUGAAAUGCGUAGAGAUCGGAAGGAACAUCUGUGGCGAAGGCGACUAUCUGGGCCAUUACUGACACUGAGGCACGAAAGCGUGGGGAGCAAACAGGAUUAGAUACCCCUGUAGUCCCUGUCUCUUAUAC
This 301-nucleotide ribosomal RNA is filed under the name uncultured bacterium. Its description in RNAcentral is "partial 16S ribosomal RNA". It matches the Rfam family "Bacterial small subunit ribosomal RNA", at positions 509 to 807 of the family's 1533-position model. The record is from RNAcentral.